AGAAGUGAGAGAUGAAGAUUGAGAGGAGGGUAAGCAAGAUAAUACCUGAUGUCGGGCAAGAGAAAUGAAAUGAGGAGCAAGUGUGAUAAAUUUUUGAGGUCUCUUUCGUUUUGGGGAGUUAGGGCAGUGGGGAGCAGUGUUUGUUUUUUAUUUUUGGCAAAUGAAUCCGUUCAAAAAAAUUUUAACAACUAAAACCUUGUCGACUUUCGCUUCCGCGACUUUUCAGCCACUUUCGCAAUUCCGCGUACAUGACCAAUUGACCGCUUCUGCGGUUGUCUCCACUCUUGCGUUGAAAUUUUCGCUUCUUCGGUACCGCAGAUACGGUCAAAAUACCACAGAAGCGGUAUUAGCAGAAGCGGUACCGCAGAUAUGGUUGCAUUCCCGCAACCAAACAAAGUGUCAUUAGCAUGAAAAACCAACCGGGCAAGUU
This 430-nucleotide long non-coding RNA is filed under the name Nicotiana benthamiana. RNAcentral describes it as "long non-coding RNA (NBEN_LNC037177)". Lineage: Eukaryota; Viridiplantae; Streptophyta; Magnoliopsida; Solanales; Solanaceae. The record is from RNAcentral.